This 402-nucleotide transfer-messenger RNA is filed under the name Flavobacteriales bacterium. It matches the Rfam family "transfer-messenger RNA". From Rfam's summary of the family: Bacterial tmRNA, also known as 10Sa RNA or SsrA, is named for its dual tRNA and mRNA-like properties. Lineage: Bacteria; Pseudomonadati; Bacteroidota; Flavobacteriia; Flavobacteriales. The record is from RNAcentral.
GGGGUCGACUGGAUUUGACAGCAAGAUGAAUCAACCUUGUUAGCAUGUGGAGUAUUGAAUAUUAGCUCCUUAAAUCAAAAUACUCAACUUCAUUUAGUUGGAGAAAACAACUACGCGUUAGCUGCAUAAUAAGACCGAGUCUUAGUAUCUUAAUCGCUUCACAAUAGUGGACCGACUAACUACCCAGUGAUGAAUUCCUGUUUAACUGUUCAUUGCAAUUGGGUAUCAGUUUGUUAAACUAGUAUAAGUAGAAUCUUGAUGCUUAUGCGAAACUCAAAAGAAUAAGUUUGUAGUGGAUUGCUUAUGGUCAGCUACUUAUCGAAAAUUAAUUGUAAGAUAAACAUGUAGAAAGCUCGCUUGUUCCUUGUUUGGACGGGAGUUCGAUUCUCCCCGACUCCACAG